Trichonephila inaurata madagascariensis is the source of this 73-nucleotide non-coding RNA. Lineage: Eukaryota; Metazoa; Arthropoda; Arachnida; Araneae; Nephilidae. The record is from the annotation of a GenBank genome assembly.
GGUUCCUUAGUGUAUUGGUUAUCACAUUAGCUUAACACGCUAAAGGUCCCUGGUUCGUUUCCGAACGGAACCA